GAUGAACGCUGGCGGCGUGCUUAACACAUGCAAGUUGAACGGGGUUAUUACGGAAGCUUGCUUUUGUUUUAACCUAGUGGCGGACGGGUGAGUAACGCGUGAGGAACCUGCCCUUGAGUGGGGAAUAACACCGAGAAAUCGGUGCUAAUACCGCAUAAUGUCGGAGAACCGCAUGAUUUUCCGACCAAAGGAUUUAUUCGCUUAAGGAUGGCCUCGCGUCCGAUUAGGCAGUUGGUGGGGUAACGGCCUACCAAACCAACGAUCGGUAGCCGAACUGAGAGGUUGAUCGGCCACAUUGGGAUUGAGACACGGCCCAGACUCCUACGGGAGGCAGCAGUGGGGAAUAUUGGGCAAUGGGCGCAAGCCUGACCCAGCAACGCCGCGUGAAGGAUGACGGUCUUAGGAUUGUAAACUUCUUUAAUCGGGGAAGAAUAAAGAC
RNAcentral lists this ribosomal RNA (439 nucleotides) under bacterium YSD2015. Its description in RNAcentral is "bacterial SSU rRNA". It matches the Rfam family "Bacterial small subunit ribosomal RNA", at positions 28 to 456 of the family's 1533-position model. The record is from RNAcentral.